This 824-nucleotide ribosomal RNA is filed under the name uncultured marine bacterium. RNAcentral's name for it is "bacterial SSU rRNA". It matches the Rfam family "Bacterial small subunit ribosomal RNA", at positions 28 to 897 of the family's 1533-position model. The record is from RNAcentral.
GAUGAACGCUGGCGGCGUGCUUAACACAUGCAAGUCGAACGAACCUUCGGGUUAGUGGCGGACGGGUGAGUAACGCGUGAGAAUCUGCCCUCAGGAGGGGGAUAACAGCUGGAAACGGCUGCUAAUACCCCAUAUGCCGCGAGGUGAAAUGAAUUUCGCCUGAGGAUGAGCUCGCGUCUGAUUAGCUAGUUGGUGUAGGUAAUGGCUCACCAAGGCAUCGAUCAGUAGCUGGUCUGAGAGGAUGAUCAGCCACACUGGGACUGAGACACGGCCCAGGCUCCUACGGGAGGCAGCAGUGGGGAAUUUUCCGCAAUGGGCGAAAGCCUGACGGAGCAACGCCGCGUGAGGGAUGAAGGCCUCUGGGCUGUAAACCUCUUUUAUCAAGGAAGAAGAUCUGACGGUACUUGAUGAAUAAGCCACGGCUAAUUCCGUGCCAGCAGCCGCGGUAAUACGGGAGUGGCAAGCGUUAUCCGGAAUUAUUGGGCGUAAAGCGUCCGCAGGCGGCCCUUCAAGUCUGCUGUUAAAAAGUGGAGCUUAACUCCAUCAUGGCAGUGGAAACUGUUGGGCUUGAGUGUGGUAGGGGCAGAGGGAAUUCCCGGUGUAGCGGUGAAAUGCGUAGAUAUCGGGAAGAACACCAGUGGCGAAGGCGCUCUGCUGGGCCAUCACUGACGCUCAUGGACGAAAGCCAGGGGAGCGAAAGGGAUUAGAUACCCCUGUAGUCCUGGCCGUAAACGAUGAACACUAGGUGUCGGGGGAAUCGACCCCCUCGGUGUCGUAGCCAACGCGUUAAGUGUUCCGCCUGGGGAGUACGCACGCAAGUGUGA